UACGAACCUCUUAAGGAUGAUGGGCCUUUACACAAUUUACCCAAUUCAAUGGGCAUGUUAGAGCAACCUUAAUAGUAGGCUCUUAAUUUUAUCUCUCGACUAUUAUGAUGAAUUGUUUUAUUGAAAAAAAUUAUAGCUAAGAGUUUUUGUAAUGGUUUGAAGCUCUUAAACCUUCUUUUAUCUCUUAGAAACACUUCUAAACUAUUCACAUAUCAUUUUGAUUAAUUAUACCUAAGAGUUAUAGUAAGAGACUUGCAAUAAGGAUGGUCUUACAACUUUAAAUGCCUUUUAUUUAUUGCCAUUAGAUAUUAGAAUUCAAAAUUAACCAAAUUUAACGAGUUAAAAAAAUUUCAAAAGAUUCUUUAAACGUUAGUUUCACUUUCAUU
This 386-nucleotide small RNA is filed under the name Arabidopsis thaliana (thale cress). RNAcentral's name for it is "ATSL128200". Lineage: Eukaryota; Viridiplantae; Streptophyta; Magnoliopsida; Brassicales; Brassicaceae. The record is from RNAcentral.